This 507-nucleotide ribosomal RNA is filed under the name uncultured Glomus. Its description in RNAcentral is "SSU rRNA". It matches the Rfam family "Eukaryotic small subunit ribosomal RNA", at positions 569 to 1078 of the family's 1831-position model. Lineage: Eukaryota; Fungi; Glomeromycota; Glomeromycetes; Glomerales; Glomeraceae. The record is from RNAcentral.
AGCAGCCGCGGUAAUUCCAGCUCCAAUAGCGUAUAUUAAAGUUGCUGCAGUUAAAAAGCUCGUAGUUGAAUUUCGGGACUAAUAUGUUGGUCGUGCCUCGGUACGUACUGAUAUUUUUGGUUUCUCCCUUCUGACGAACCUUGAUGUCAUUAAUUUGGUGUCUUGGGAAAUCAGGACUGUUACUUUGAAAAAAUUAGAGUGUUUAAAGCAGGCUCACGCUUGAAUACAUUAGCAUGGAAUAAUGAAAUAGGACGUUUGAUUCUAUUUUGUUGGUUUCUAGGAUCGACGUAAUGAUUAAUAGGGAUAGUUGGGGGCAUUAGUAUUCAAUUGUCAGAGGUGAAAUUCUUGGAUUUAUUGAAGAAUAACUACUGCGAAAGCAUUUGCCAAGGAUGUUUUCAUUAAUCAAGAACGAAAGUUAGGGGAUCGAAGACGAUCAGAUACCGUCGUAGUCUUAACCAUAAACUAUGCCGACUAGGGAUCGGAUGAUGUUAAUUUUUUAAUGACUCA